AGUUGCGCCACUCUGAACACUUCC
This 24-nucleotide non-coding RNA is filed under the name Arabidopsis thaliana (thale cress). The record is from RNAcentral. Lineage: Eukaryota; Viridiplantae; Streptophyta; Magnoliopsida; Brassicales; Brassicaceae.